CCUACGGGAGUCAGCAGUGGGGAAUAUUGCACAAUGGGGGAAACCCUGAUGCAGCGACGCCGCGUGAGUGAAGAAGUAUUUCGGUAUGUAAAGCUCUAUCAGCAGGGAAGAAAAUGACGGUACCUGAUUAAGAAGCCACGGCUAACUACGUGCCAGCAGCCGCGGUAAUACGUAGGGGGCAAGCGUUAUCCGGCUUGACUGGGUGGAAAGGGAGCGUAGACGGCAGCGCAAGUCUGAAGUGAAAUGCCGGGGCUUAACCCCGGAACUGCUUGGGAAACUGUGCAGCUAGAGUGCAGGAGAGGUAAGUGGAAUUCCGAGUGUAGCGGUGAAAUGAGUAGAUAUUAGGAGGAACACCAGUGGCGAAGGCGGCUUACUGGACUGUAACUGACGUUGAGGCUCGAAAGCGUGGGGAGCAAACAGGAUUAGAUACCCGAGUAGUC
RNAcentral lists this ribosomal RNA (440 nucleotides) under uncultured bacterium. RNAcentral's name for it is "partial 16S ribosomal RNA". It matches the Rfam family "Bacterial small subunit ribosomal RNA", at positions 338 to 795 of the family's 1533-position model. The record is from RNAcentral.